GGCUGAGAGAUCAGCUGUUCCCUUCGGGGACAGAAUGACAGGUGGUGCAUGGUUGUCGUCAGCUCGUGUCGUGAGAUGUUGGGUUAAGUCCCGCAACGAGCGCAACCCUUAUGAUCAGUUGCCAGCAUUCAGUUGGGCACUCUGGUCAGACUGCCGGUGACAAACCGGAGGAAGGCGGGGAUGACGUCAAAUCAUCAUACCCCUUAUGACCUGGGCUACACACGUGCUACAAUGGGUGGUACAACGAGCAGCGAGACCGCGAGGUCAAGCGAAUCUCUAAAAACCAUCCUCAGUUCGGAUUGCAGGCUGCAACUCGCCUGCAUGAAGCUGGAAUCGCUAGUAAUCGCGGAUCAGCACGCCGCGGUGAAUACGUUCCCGGGUCUUGUACACACCGA
RNAcentral lists this ribosomal RNA (395 nucleotides) under uncultured bacterium. RNAcentral describes it as "bacterial SSU rRNA". It matches the Rfam family "Bacterial small subunit ribosomal RNA", at positions 997 to 1393 of the family's 1533-position model. The record is from RNAcentral.